RNAcentral lists this ribosomal RNA (497 nucleotides) under uncultured bacterium. RNAcentral's name for it is "partial 16S ribosomal RNA". It matches the Rfam family "Bacterial small subunit ribosomal RNA", at positions 28 to 507 of the family's 1533-position model. The record is from RNAcentral.
GAUGAACGCUGGCGGCGUGCCUAAUACAUGCAAGUCGAGCGAACGGACGAGAAGCUUGCUUCUCUGAUGUUUGCGGCGGACGUGUGUGUAACACGUGGAUCACCUCCCUAUAAGACUGGGAUCACUUCGGGACACCGGAACUAAUACCAUAUCAUCUUUUGAACCGCAUUGUUCAAAAGUAAAAGACGGUCUUGCUGUUACUUAUUGAUGGAUCCUCGCUUCAUUAGCUAGUUGGUAAGGUAACGGCUUACCAAGGCAACGAUGCAUGGCCGACCUGAGAGGUGGAUCGGCCACACUGGAACUGAGACACGGUCCAGACUCCAACGGGAGGCAGCAGAAGGGAAUCUUCCGCAAUGGGCGAAAGCCUGACGGAGCAACGCCGCGGGAGUGAUGAAGGUCUUCGGAUCGUAAAACUCUGUUAUUAGGGAAGAACAUAUGUGUAAGUAACUGUGCACAUCGUGACGGUACCUAAUCAGAAAGCCACGGCUAACUACGUG